UAGUGUGGCGGAGUGGGAAGAUGGCUGUAACAGCGGAUUGGAUGCAUGUCCCCUCCAAUAUGCGGCUAACCAACCGAGGGUCUGGUGUCCGUUCUGAAAGAGCAGCGGACCGAAUAUUUACCAGCACUUUUAGCGAAUUACCGGGAGCACGGCGUGUUCUCGACACAGAGUACUGGAGCUGUCGGUGGUCUCGUGGGAAUCAGCAACGCCAAACUCGGCAACAGCAAAACCAAGUUCGAGGGGCUGUCUUCUCUGUGCUGGUCAAAGACAGUUCUAGUGAUGCGUUCCAACAACACUGUCUCUUAUGGCUACGGUCCCUACAACAGGUCAUACAGUCCAAGGACCCCCCUCCCGUCCGUCCAGCUAGCGGUGGGGGUCCUCCAGGACCUGCUCCAUUAUUCCUCCCAGCUACCUGAGCUGGCCAGGGAGGUGGGCCUCAACUCUAUCCUGGGGAUCCUCACCUCGCUGCUAGGCCUCAAGUCUGAGUGUCACCUAGCUACCAUUGAGGGGAUGACUGCAUGUAUGACCUAUCCCUGAGCCUGUGGCUCCCUGAGGGACAAACUGGGUGCCUAUUUCUUAGCCAAAAUGGACAGCGCCAACCCAAAAGUACAAGAGAAGGGACAGUGCAGUAUGAAGGGCCAGGUGUAGAGCUGCCCUACUCUCCUCUGCAUGACACAGACCCCCUCCUCCUGCUGCAGUUACAACACAGACACAGAGCUGCCUGCCUGGCUCUCAAACACACACUCCGUGUGGACCCGGCCUCUGCAGUGCGUCUACCUGUACAGCAGGUGCUCAAUCUGGUCUGUCGCGUCCUGGCGGUCAGCUCCAAGAGCAUAAAUGUAACAGCUGAUGGGUGUGUGAAGCUGCUGGUGUUGCCUGCCAUACACAAAGAUACUCUGCGGGUGCUGCACGCUCUCAUCACAGCUUUAGGCAGUGCAGUAUUCCAGUGUGCUACAGAGACUGUUCUCUCAGACCCUGUCUGCCUGGACCCCUCUACCUGAAACCAGCCUGGGACAACAGAGAGCAUUCAGUGCAGUGCGUGGGCCCUUGUACCGUACCUUAGAACUCUGGGUAAGAGUGGGAGGAGCCUCAGACAGUGUCUUGCAGGGAAGCCCCACCCACUCUGAGCUCCUACGGUCCCACCUGCUGGGUGACAACACACCCUUGGCGGACUCUGUUAGGCCCACCAGCUCUCCUCAGCUCCGUGAUCUGGUUUCCAAAAAGCCCUGCUCUAAAAGCCGGAAGCCUGGAUUGGCUGUGAGCGACAAGGGCGGCGCCUCUUUCCAGAGGAAAGGAGACUCGCUGGCCAAUCAGGACACCUGCCUGUCUGCACUCAGAGCAUUGAGACAAGUCAUACUGACCAGUGGAUCUCUACUGAAGGAGGAUAUACACAAGGUAUCCUCCUUCUGUACAGAGGCCCUGACCAUAUGCAACUCCCUCCUCCAUCCGCGCCCCCCCUCCCUCUCUUUUCCCCUCACCCUCAAACCCCCCCCCAGGCAUCCAACCUCCUAAGGGGGCCUGCCCCCGGACCUCCCUUCCCCAGCUCUCUGGACAACCACCUACCUCUGGUUCUUCCAGUGCUCUCCGGCGGCCAGAGACCCGUUUUCAUCCUCUACGACAAAGAAGAGGCGUCGGAUGUGGAGAUUUCGCUAGAGAGCGAUUCGGACGAUGGUGUGGUCAUCGUGCCACAGAGGAUGCGGAUGUUGGAAAGCCAAGAUGGCACCAGCUCUGCGGCCACUCUUCCCGGUCUUCCUUAGCACCAGGUGGCGUCACACUCCCCAUGCCCUGUCAAAAAGGCGACCCGGGUGGGGACAUCUCCCUCCCCCUUUCCAACGACCUUCCCUCUACCUCCCUCCCUCACCCUCUCCUCCCCUCCUCCACCCCAAACUACACCGUCAACUUGUUCCCUCCAUCUCCGCUAGUCUCUCUGGUUCCCCCUCUCAACUCCACCGGUGUGGCCCAACUCGGGGAACCCUCUGUGGGGUUAGGAGUCGGGACUGACUCCCUGCCUGGAGCCCAGCUCCAGCAGAUGUUGCUCCACAGCCUCCAGCACCUGGUCAACCUACAGCACUAGAUCUUCCCAUACAGGUUCACCAGAACCAGUUAGCCCAGUCCAGCAGAGCCCUACAGCGGCAACAGCAAUCCAUUGACGAAGAUCACACGAUCAUUAAUAUCAACAGCUCUGAUGAAGAAGAGGAGGAUGAGUUGGAAGAGGAAGAGAACGGUUUCCCAGAUGAGGAUAUUUGAUGGAGACCUUGAUGAUUAUAAGGGGGAGGAGAUGGAGGAUGAAGAAGAGGGAGAGAUUCGGCUGUUGGACGGAGAAGGGAGGAUGAGAGGAAGGAGAGGUGCUCAGAGGGUUGGCGGAGGGAGGGAUAGGAGGAUUCCGAGUGGAGAGCGAGGGGGAAGGAAGGAUAAAGGCUCAGGAGGUAGAGAGCAUCGGAGUGCUGGAGGAAGAGGGAGAGGAGGAUGCCAAUGAAGGAAUGAAUGACCCGAACAUGCCUCAGAUCCUGUGUGUGACGGGCGGAGCUCUGAGAGAGAGCUUGCUCAGGCAGAGCUAGAUGAGGAAGGGGCCGGGCAUGGGCAGAAAGUGAGGUCAUGGGAGCAGAAGGGAGGUUAUCGGCCGGAGGGAACGUCCUCUUCUGAAGACGGUCCUGCUGCUCAACACCAACAGGAGGCGGAGCCUGCACCGGAAGUGAGGGUGGACGGUGACGAUCAGCCAUCCAAUCAGGAGGGAGAAAUAUCCAAACAGGGCGGCGAUAAUACCGGACAGGAGGUCAUCAACAGCUCAGAGGGAGAGCAAGGGAGAGGGGCCUGAACGAGAGAAAGAAAGAGAGGAUGGGAGAGGGAUGAAGAGAAAGAGAGAGAAGGAAGGAACAGAGAAGAAAAAGAAUUGGCCAACAAAAGCUAUCUAACAACCCACACUCUCUCUCAGUUGGGUGAAGAAGCGAUGGCGUCCAAGCUAGCCGACAUCGUAGCCUGCCCUCCAGACAAUGUGCCCUCUGGAUCCAACCGCCCAUCCGAAACAAGGCCAGGCACGGCUCCAUCACAAUACCUACAGAACAACUCGAUUUCUAGCCCCUUCCAUAGUCUCACACAUUCUUUCAUUAUCAACAUACUGCUAAGACAAUGUUCAACACAUUGAGGCUGGGUUUAGACGGGCACCCCAAUUCUGAUCUUUUUUCCACUAAUUUGUCUUCGUUUUAUUUUUAUAUGUUUUUUUACACCCCUUUUUCUUCCCAAUUUCAUGGUAUCCAAAUGGUAGUUUGUUUUGUCUCAUGCAACUCCCGUACGGACUCGGGAGAGGCGAAGGUCGAGAGCCGUGCGUCCUCCGAAAACACGACUCAACCAAGCCGCACUGCUUCUUGACACAAUGCCCGCUUAACCUGGAAAGCUAGCCGCACCAAUGUGUCGGAGGAAACACUGUGCACCUGGUGACCGUGUCAGUGUGUACUGCGCCCGGCCCGCCACUGGAGUCUCUAGUGCUCGAUGGGACGAGGACAUCCCUGCCGGCCAAACCCUCCCUAACCUGGACGACGCUGGGCCAACUGUGCGCCGUCCCAUGGGUCUCCCGGUCACGGCCGGCUGCGACAGAGCCUGGACUCAAACCCAGAAUCUCUAGUGGCACAGCUUAGCACAGCGAUGCCGAGCCUUAGACCACUGCGCCACUCGGGAGGCCUCUCACUAAUUGGUCUUUUGACCAAUCGCAUCAGAUCUUUUUCAGAGCUGAUCUAAUUGUUCAAAAGCCAGAUUUAGUGAAAGAAAUAUCAGAACUGGGCUGCCUGUGUAAACACAGCCAGCCAUAGAGGUUGGAAUUAGAUUGGUCUUAAACGAUCACGUUUCGUCUUGAAUGCAGGACAGUAGAUUUAUUUGUAAUACAACUCUCUGGACUAUUAUUAUUUAAAAAACGCUUCAAUUAUUUUACAUCAAAACAUAAAGACUUUGCAGCUCGUACUGGUGUGUGCUGUGUUAGUGAGUGUAGUAGUAGUGUGUUUUUGGAUCUUUAUAGACAGUAUAUGACUUCUGUUCUUUUUGUUCUCCCGUCUUUUCUUACAAAAUAAACGUCAAAAGCAGUUAUCCGUUUCGA
This is a long non-coding RNA of Oncorhynchus keta (chum salmon), 4084 nucleotides long. RefSeq lists it as uncharacterized. The record is from RefSeq and is a predicted model, not a curated record. NCBI's taxonomy places the organism in Eukaryota, Metazoa, Chordata, Actinopteri, Salmoniformes, Salmonidae. The transcript is spliced from 15 exons.